RNAcentral lists this ribosomal RNA (317 nucleotides) under uncultured fungus. RNAcentral's name for it is "eukaryotic LSU rRNA". Lineage: Eukaryota; Fungi. The record is from RNAcentral.
AACGCACCUUGCGCUCCUGGGCUAUUCCUAGGAGCAUGCCUGUUUGAGUGUCGUGAAAUCAUCAACCCCAGUUGGAUUUGAAAUUUGACUGGUGGCUUGGACUUGGGGGUUUGCUGGCCGUUUUGAUUCGGUCUGGCUCCCCUUGAAUGUAUUAGCUUGGACUUGUUCCUAAGGCUUCAUGGCGUGAUAGGUUUUUGUUACGUCUCGAUAAUUCCGUCUCGGAGCCGUGUGGCUUCGGCUUCGAAUCGUCCCUCUUGGGGGACUGACUCCAUCUUGAAUCUGACCUCAAAUCAGGCAGGACUACCCGCUGAACUUAA